UACGGGGGGGGGCAAGCGUUGUUCGGAAUUACUGGGCGUAAAGGGCCAGUAGGCGGCCGGCUAAGUCCGACGUGAAAUCCCCAGGCUUAACCUGGGAACUGCGUCGGAUACUGGCUGGCUUGAAUUCGGGAGAGGGAUGCAGAAUUCCAGGUGUAGCGGUGAAAUGCGUAGAUAUCUGGAGGAAUACCGGUGGCGAAGGCGGCAUCCUGGACCGACAUUGACGCUGAACGGCGAAAGCU
RNAcentral lists this ribosomal RNA (239 nucleotides) under uncultured bacterium. RNAcentral's name for it is "partial 16S ribosomal RNA". It matches the Rfam family "Bacterial small subunit ribosomal RNA", at positions 524 to 761 of the family's 1533-position model. The record is from RNAcentral.